GUUCACUCUGGGGGAGAGUAAUGCGGCCAAUUCGACCUCGAACUCGACCUCCGUUGAGUUGCUAUUGACGCCCCUGACGCUGGACAAUUCGUCCAGCCUCUUCACACAAGAGUGAUGAUGGAACCCUCCUCCUUACAGAGACGACAGGGUCCAAUCAGUAUUCUCUUUAACAAUUGGACGUGCCCUGAAAUGCCUUCUUGACCUUGGAUUCACUGUAGAACCCCGGGCCGAAAACUGACAGCCCGGGCCCAUAAAUUGUCUUUAUGGCCUAGCCUUCAAGUUCUUGCCCCUUUCUGAAACUUCAUAAGCCGCCAAAAUGAUCUCCCGAUCCAGUUCCUCGUACCAGCCUUUAGAGAAGCAAAACCAAUCCAGCCGGAAGAACAGCAUUGAGGAGAGUGAAGGUCAUGAGCUGACCAGCAUAGCUGUGAUCUCCAGUCAUCCUCUACGUUCCAAUGCCCAUCCAACGGUUAAUACCACCGCUGUGUCCAGUGCCAACCAUCACCAUGACUUGGAUUUCACCAUGUUCAAGUCCGAAGAGAAGACCCAAUGGACCAACUUUCAUUUCGUGAUGUGCAUUGGCAUCAUCGGGUUCUUCGUGUUCUGGGUCAUCCUCCUGGGAAAAAUGUACCUGCCACCUGAGCUUCGCGUUUGGGGCCUGAUAUCUUCGGGCUGGAACGGGAUGGUCAAGUUCACUCUGGGGGAGAGUAAUGCGGCCAAUUCGACCUCGAACUCGACCUCCGUUGAGUUGCUAUUGACGCCCCUGACGCUGGACAAUUCGUCCAGCCUCUUCACACAAGAGUGAUGAUGGAACCCUCCUCCUUACAGAGACGACAGGUAUCAUUCAAAAGCAUUGCGUGGAUCACCAAGGGCCAAGAAGGCCUCCGAUUCGAAAACGGGAUCGCCUCCUAUUUAUUGUUAUCCAGUGGAAAGUUUUGAGCGUUCCACAAGAGCUGAUCCUGAUCCCAGAACAAGUACCCAUAAACGCUCCGCGGAGUCGAAGCCACCUUAUACAUAGAUAUAUUUUGCAGUCACAUCACAGUUUGACCAGAUGAUUCAUAGUAAUAAUUAGAUACUUUCUCUCCCGAUGAGAUUCCCAUAUUAACCAUUCUUUCACAUUCAGUAUGUACUGUUUGUUGAUCCUUUCCCUCUGACAUUCAAUAAAUUGACAAUUGACUCA
Molecule: long non-coding RNA, 1177 nt
Organism: Tigriopus californicus
Lineage: Eukaryota; Metazoa; Arthropoda; Copepoda; Harpacticoida; Harpacticidae
Exons: 3
Source: RefSeq, a predicted model, not a curated record